GGGGCUGAAAGGAUUUCGACGGGGAUUUUGGUCCAUGGCAAGCGAGCAGCGGCACGGACCCGCUACAACAAGCCGUAGUUUAGAAAUAAACGACAACGAUUAUCAACUCCUUGCCGCUUAACCUUAACCGGUAGCGGCCGUCCUGCCCGGGAGGCCUGCGGCCCGGGACAGGGCGUCAUUGAGCAGGGCACGUGCACGGGCGGGACGCCUUGCCCCCCGUCAUGAAGAUACACGGCUACCGCAACGCGCGGCUUUUCUAUCGGCGGCGCGCGAGGGGAAUCGCAAUGAUAGGAUACGCUCGUAGAAAACCAUGGGGAUGGGUCUUCGGACGCGGCUUCGACUGCCGCCAGCUCCACCA
This 358-nucleotide transfer-messenger RNA is filed under the name Oscillospiraceae bacterium. It matches the Rfam family "transfer-messenger RNA". From Rfam's summary of the family: Bacterial tmRNA, also known as 10Sa RNA or SsrA, is named for its dual tRNA and mRNA-like properties. The record is from RNAcentral. Lineage: Bacteria; Bacillati; Bacillota; Clostridia; Eubacteriales; Oscillospiraceae.